Molecule: ribosomal RNA, 460 nt
Filed under: uncultured bacterium
Lineage: Bacteria
Description: partial 16S ribosomal RNA
Rfam family: Bacterial small subunit ribosomal RNA
Source: RNAcentral
CCUACGUGUGGCAGCAGUGAGGAAUAUUGGUCAAUGGGCGCGAGCCUGAACCAGCCAAGUAGCGUGAAGGAUGACUGCCCUACGGGUUGUAAACUUCUUUUAUAAAGGAAUAAAGUGAGGCACGUGUGCCUUUUUGUAUGUACUUUAUGAAUAAGGAUCGGCUAACUCCGUGCCAGCAGCCGCGGUAAUACGGAGGAUACGAGCGUUAUCCGGAUUUAUUGGGGUUAAAGGGAGCGUAGAUGGGAUGUUAAGUCAGUUGUGAAAGCUUGCGGCUCAACCGUAAAAUUGCAAUUGAUACUGGCAGACUUGAGUACAGGUGAGGUAGGCGGAAUGCGUGGUGUAGCGGUGAAAUGCAGAGAUAUCACGAAGAACUCCGAUCGCGAAGGCAGCUUACUGGCGCGCAACUGACGCUGAUGCACGAAAGCGUGGGUAUCAAACAGGAUUAGAUACCCUAGUAGUC